This 986-nucleotide long non-coding RNA is filed under the name Betta splendens (Siamese fighting fish). RNAcentral's name for it is "lncRNA (ENSBSLG00000009734.1)". The record is from RNAcentral. Lineage: Eukaryota; Metazoa; Chordata; Actinopteri; Anabantiformes; Osphronemidae.
AGACCAUUUCAGCACGUUGCAAAGCCUGGGAACAACAAAAUUAUAGAUAUAUGAGAGCAAGAUUACACAAGGGCUCGUCGCCUCAGGGCAGCGACAACGUGACAAAAGGAAGGAAGUCCUCAAGCUUUUCUCAUGUCUCAUCCUUCCUGCUCGUCGUUAACAAUAAAGACAGGAAACUACAGCGCGGAAACAGUCACAUGUCGACCAACGUGAGAAAGAAGAAGCAGCGAGCACAAAAACCUAGCAAGAAAAAGAAGAGAGAAAAGGUUUCCACAGAACAAACCAACGAGGCCUUCGGCUCCAACGCCCCGGAGUUCGUGGCGUUCCUGGAUCAGAUGAUCAGAUGGUUUUCCGAGCAUCAGCAACAGGUUGAUCAGCUGUUCGGCCCCAGCGACCCGGACGGGAGUGGACGGGUGCACCUGAAGGACUUUUGUCUGGGCCUGAUGAACCUGGACGUCCCCUGUCAGCGCGCUCAGCUCCAGACACUGACUCAGCUGCUGAAGAACGCCGGCAACACGAUACGUUAUCGAGGCUUGAACGGACAAGUGCAGAGUGUGAGGCUGGGGGUCGGGAGCCUAGAGGUCGGUGCUCAAACAGCUGAGAGAGGAGACGUGGGGAGAUUCGUCCGCCUCAGGCUCAGACUUGUUCCAUUUGACUCCUCUGCAGCCCAUCCAGGGAACUUUGAGGUGAUUCUGCCAAGCAGCACCAAAGUGGCCGGUCUGACGAGGAUCAUCCAGGACCGGGUCGGGAUCCAGACCCGCAGGCUGGAGGUGUUCCCGAGCCGGCAGACCGCAGCGGAGGCCUGCCUGCCCCCGGAGCGCACGCUGGAGGAGUGCGGCUUCAUAGGAGGGCCGGAGGAGAGCCCUGCAGAGGACACGGUGUACUACGACUACAGCCUGACGCUCGCAGACUGUCCACUCCUCAACUGCGACCACUACUUCAGGCUGGAACCAGAUCCUGCUGCCAGACGAACUAGAACCUGUUGA